Non-coding RNA from Rattus norvegicus (Norway rat), 457 nucleotides. The record is from Rfam. NCBI's taxonomy places the organism in Eukaryota, Metazoa, Chordata, Mammalia, Rodentia, Muridae.
CUCCCUGCAGAUCGCCCGAGCCAGCCUUUGCCAAGGACCUUGACCUAGCAUGGACUUGGUCGCCACGCUUAGCUCCCCCUGACCUGCUUUUGAACCCGCUAAUCCACCCCAACUCUUGCCCCAACGUUCACUCCACGCGCUAAUUCCCGCUGGCCCCACAGCCCCCACUCCCUCUCGGCCCGAGGCUCUGAAGGGCACCACCGGGGCUCCGAACUGAAGCAAAUGGCCUCAGCUACAAACAUCCCUCUCCUUGGCUGCCCUUAAUUUAAUUCGUUUUUUUUUUCAAAAUAAUAACCAGACGAAUAUCAAUCUUCUGGAACGGAGACGAACCUAGCAAACUGGUGGUCCGGUAAAGAAGUGGCCACCUUGGCUGACCAGCGACCAGGGCCUGGGAAGGAAAAGCCAGAAUCUGGUGCCCUGCAAGAGCGGAAAAAGGCCGGAAGAACCGCAGACACAA